This 506-nucleotide ribosomal RNA is filed under the name uncultured bacterium. RNAcentral's name for it is "partial 16S ribosomal RNA". It matches the Rfam family "Bacterial small subunit ribosomal RNA", at positions 29 to 523 of the family's 1533-position model. The record is from RNAcentral.
AGUGAACGCUGGCGGUAGGCCUAACACAUGCAAGUCGAACGGCAGCACAGGAGAGCUUGCUCUCUGGGUGGCGAGUGGCGGACGGGUGAGGAAUACAUCGGAAUCUACUCUGUCGUGGGGGAUAACGUAGGGAAACUUACGCUAAUACCGCAUACGACCUACGGGUGAAAGCAGGGGACCUUCGGGCCUUGCGCGAUUGAAUGAGCCGAUGUCGGAUUCGCUAGUUGGCGGGGUAAAGGCCCACCAAGGCGACGAUCCGUAGCUGGUCUGAGAGCAUGAUCAGCCAAAGUGUAACGUAGACAGGGGACAGACUCCUACGGGAGGCAGCAGUGGGGAAUAUUGGACAAUGGGCGCAAGCCUGAUCCAGCCAUACCGCGUGAGUGAAGAAGGCCUUCGGGUUGUAAAGCCCUUUUGUUGGGAAAGGAAUCCAGCUGGCUAAUACCCGGUUGGGAUGACGGUACCCAAAGAAUAAGCACCGGCUAACUUCGUGCCAGCCGCCGCCGUAA